Molecule: long non-coding RNA, 1433 nt
Filed under: Fukomys damarensis (Damara mole-rat)
Lineage: Eukaryota; Metazoa; Chordata; Mammalia; Rodentia; Bathyergidae
Description: lncRNA (ENSFDAG00000024061.1)
Source: RNAcentral
CUGCCUUCUCAAGCCUCAGCUCAGCCAACCUCAGGCCCACAGGCCCACACUAGCAGGCCCAGUACCAAUCUCUCUGAGGGCCGAGCCAGGACACUGCAGGGUCUCACAGACUUCCAAGAGACUGGGCUGGCUGCCCAGCAGCUGCAGGAAACUGAUGGUCCAGAGCACAGAGUUCCAGGGUUCAACCCACAUGUGAGUUCUGUGGGCCCUUGGUGAGCUGCAGACAUGGGCCACCAGGUCUGGGCGGGCUGAGGUUCUGUCUCCCUCCACCCAGGGCUGCUGAGGCUGCUGGUCCUUGGGCCACAGCGGAGCAGAGCUGUGGCCUCGGCGAGCUUGGCUCCAGGGCAGAGAGGACGGCCAACUCCACGCAGCGGCGCCGAGUGUGGCCCAAAGCAGAUGCUGUGGUGUCAGGACAACGGGAGCUCAAGUCGCACCCCAGCUCCUCCCUCCACCUGUUCUUCCGCCCUAGAGAUAGCCACGCGGGUCAGAGGGAGCACAACAUCCAAAUUCUGCACAAUCCUCAGGGCCCACGGCUGGCCCUUCCACUCUGACUCCUCUAAGAAAGAAGGACUUGUGAGUCUUGCCGUUCACUGGGAAAACAACUGAGGAAGACCAUGGUAAGGCCUGGACUCCUGUCAAAAGGUGUUAUAGCUGUGUCUCGAUGUCCCUCCAAAGCCUCAUGCAGUCAUAGGUGGGGCUUCUCAGAUCUAGGUGUGAAUGUGGAUUAAGGGUGUCAUUUUGGGAUUAAGAGUGUGUGGUACCAGAUUAGUCCACUAAUUGGUUUAGUAUAGUUUUGGGCAUGGUAAUAGGAAUCCGCACCCUUGGUGUGGGUGGCACCACCCGAAAGGGUGGUAGCCUGGACGGAAUAAAAGGGAAAGGGAGGCUUGCUGCUGCUCCUGGGGCUCACUGCCUGUCUCCUGCUCCCUGUGCCAUGGACUAUUUCUCCUCUGCCAGGCCACCCUGCCCUGGAGCCAGCAGACUAUGGACUGAAAACCUCUACAACCUGUGAGCCAAAAUAAAGGUUUCCUCCUUUAAUUUGUGGGUGUUGGGUAUUUUGUCCCAGCAACAAAAAAAGUAACUAAGUCAAGGAUUAACCCAGGUCUUUUCCAGAAUGCUCACUGACCGUGGGUUAAAUACAUAUUUAUCAGGAGUUCAGGAUUUAUACAAAUACAUAUUUAUGUUUAAUUUCAAUGACAUGUAACCUGAAGUGAAAUAAAUAACGAAGCCCAGCUAUGAAAUCCUCGUGAUUUUGAGACAGGUAUCCCUCUGAGUGAACUGAAGGGAAACUGGCUUCUACCUGGAGCGUAUUUCCAUCUCAAGUUGAUUUACUCUAUGAGACAAAACCUCUUGUAUCAUCAUAAAAAGGAACUCAUAUGCACAGCAGACGUCUAAGUGACUCUGUCAACUUUUCCUGAGAGCAGAGGGUUCGGAAG